GGUGAUAUCAUAUUGAAACACCAAUUCCCAUAUGAUCACUGAAUUUAAGCAAUGUUAGUAUUUGGUUAGUACCUAGAUGGGUGACCACUUGGGAAUACCAGUUGCUGUAAG
Non-coding RNA from Acanthosepion pharaonis, 111 nucleotides. Lineage: Eukaryota; Metazoa; Mollusca; Cephalopoda; Sepiida; Sepiidae. The record is from the annotation of a GenBank genome assembly.